Molecule: non-coding RNA, 2079 nt
Organism: Kogia breviceps (pygmy sperm whale)
Lineage: Eukaryota; Metazoa; Chordata; Mammalia; Artiodactyla; Physeteridae
Source: RefSeq, a predicted model, not a curated record
CCAGUGGAAGGGUUUUGUCGCUGUGGCUCCCAAAUUUUGCUUGCGAGGCUGGCCUGGCUGAGGGCUCAGUGCGCCCGGCCCCACCCUCCAGGUGAGCCUAGGAACUGAUGACGGGGCCCCAGCGCGUGACGGACUAGGUUCACGCCGUCCUCUCAGGCCUUCGCGGCCGGGCGGCCCGGGUUAUCCCGAGUAUCCUGGGGACCCCACGCCACGUGCCGACGGCGACGCGAGGGCCUCAGUCCCCGGGAAGUUACGCCCCUUCUGGUUCGUAAGACUCAAGAGUCUCAGGCCACCCGGGCUUAGCUCUGUUUUCCCCGAAAAACACCGAGUCUCCGGUCCUUGGAAACGGUAACCGUCCUUCUUUCUGUGAAUUGACCACCCGCUUCCAGUUCGUGCAGCCGUUUGGUUGUUUGUAAGACACCCCUUUCACGGACACCGAACAUUGAUGAACCCAAAGUUUAUCAGUUCUCGGCAGUGACCUUUUUCUAAACCAGAGCGAUUUUUUGUAUUAGUUAACUUACUCUGGUUUGAAUUACAGUUCUGUCCGUGAGGGCCCUGGCCGCUGAAUGUCAGCCCUGUGAAGGCAGGGGCUGUGUCUUGGUCUUUGUGACCUCUUCUAUAGCGGGGCAGGGAUUUGUGUAAGGUCAGCACCUAGUAAAUGUUUGCUGAGUUGAACUGUUAGGUGAAAGAACUGUUGUAGGACCACUAACUCAGCAUCUUUAAAAAACUGUUCUAGAACCUCCCCCCACCCGGAGUCUCAUUCUUUUUUCUGCGAAACACUCAAUGCUGCCUGAGGCUUGGACCCAACCUGAGGGACCACAUCUGAGAAAACCCAGCCUGUGUCUGCAGUAUCCGCUUGAAUUCCUCAGGUUGUUCAGGAAUGGAGAAUCUCCAGCAGUGUUAAAUAUAUUACCAUCAACUUAGGAGAUGGCUGCUUUGCAAAGGAAAGGGCUUCAGGCAAGGAUUCUCAGCUCUGAAGAAGAGGAGAAACUUAAAAGAGACCAAGCUUUAGUGUCUGAUUUUAAACAGCAAAAACUGGAAAAAGAGGCUCAGAAGAACUGGGACCUUUUUUACAAAAGAAAUAGCACUAACUUCUUCAAAGAUAGACACUGGACCACCAGAGAGUUUGAGGAGCUCAGAUCAUGUAGAGAGUUUGAAGAUCAAAAAUUGACUAUGCUUGAAGCUGGCUGUGGGGUUGGGAACUGUUUAUUCCCGCUUUUAGAAGAUCCGAAUAUCUUUGCCUAUGCCUGUGAUUUUUCUCCAAGAGCAGUUGAAUAUGUCAAGCAAAAUCCUUUAUAUGACACAGCAAGAUGCAAGGUAUUCCAGUGUGAUCUGACUAAAGAUGACCUUCUGGAACAUGUGCCCCCAGAGUCUGUGGAUGUUGUCAUGUUGAUAUUUGUGCUCUCUGCAGUUCACCCUGAUAAAAUGCACCUUGUCUUAAAAAACAUUUACAAGGUAUUAAAACCAGGCAAAAGUGUCUUGUUUCGCGACUAUGGGCUGUAUGAUCAUGCCAUGCUUAGGUUUAAAGCCGGCAGCAAACUUGCAGAAAACUUUUAUGUUAGACAAGAUGGAACCAGAUCGUAUUUUUUCACUGAUGGUAAGAUUGCUGGAAUCUGUCUUGACUGCUGUUUCUUUGAUUUCAUUGUCACUGUGGUACCAGUUGGAAUGGGGGUGACUAUACGCCCCUCACAAGCACAAGGUCCCAGAACAAGUGUGCUCACGCGCACCGCUUACCAGCCCCAGCUGUGAGCUCACGGGCUACCUGUGGUGACGGUGUCCAGUUAGUGAGCUGGAUCAGUGGACAGGCUCUGAUGUGCCGCCAUGUGGAUGACGCCAGGGAGCUACGCUGGAAAGCGAGGAGAGCAAACCAGAAUCUUCACUUUGUUCACUCAGGAAUAAAGAAAAUAGGACAGGGUAGUGCCUUGAGAUUACUUGAGUCUCACAAAGAAUUCCUGGCACGACUCUUUAUGGACACAGGUUACGAAGAAGAGGUGAACGAGUAUGUGUUUCGUGAGACGGUGAAUAAAAAAGAAGGCCUGUGUGUGCCGAGGGUUUUUCUUCAGAGCAAGUUCCGAAAGU